AGCCACUGAUGAAAUUUGAUUCUGCCAAAUGAAUUACUGUGAUAUCACACUUCUCCGUUCCACUUUUCUCUGAGGUU
Small nucleolar RNA from Melopsittacus undulatus (budgerigar), 77 nucleotides. The record is from Ensembl. NCBI's taxonomy places the organism in Eukaryota, Metazoa, Chordata, Aves, Psittaciformes, Psittaculidae.